UACGUAGGACCCAAGCGUUAUCCGGAGUGACUGGGCGUAAAGAGUUGCGUAGGCGGCGGACAAAGCGAAUGGUGAAACCUGAAGGCUCAACCUUCAGACUAUUAUUCGAACUCGUCUGCUCGAGAGUAAGAGAGGUACCUGGAAUUUCUUGUGUAGGAGUGAAAUCCGUAGAUAUAAGAAGGAACACCAAUGGCGUAAGCAGGGUACUGGCUUAUUUCUGACGCUAAGGCACGAAAGCGUGGGGAGCGAACCGG
RNAcentral lists this ribosomal RNA (254 nucleotides) under uncultured bacterium. Its description in RNAcentral is "partial 16S ribosomal RNA". It matches the Rfam family "Bacterial small subunit ribosomal RNA", at positions 524 to 776 of the family's 1533-position model. The record is from RNAcentral.